RNAcentral lists this ribosomal RNA (479 nucleotides) under uncultured bacterium. Its description in RNAcentral is "partial 16S ribosomal RNA". It matches the Rfam family "Bacterial small subunit ribosomal RNA", at positions 28 to 507 of the family's 1533-position model. The record is from RNAcentral.
GAUGAACGCUGGCGGCGUGCUUAACACAUGCAAGUCGAACGAAGCACUUAAGAUUGAUUCUUCGGAUGACGUCUUUUGUGACUUAGUGGCGGACGGGUGAGUAACGCGUGGGUAACCUGCCUCACACAGGGGGAUAACAGUUAGAAAUGACUGCUAAUACCGCAUAACCCGAUAGGAUCGCAUGAUCCAGACGGAAAAGAUUUAUCGGUGUGAGAUGGACCCGCGUCUGAUUAGCUAGUUGGUGAGGUAACGGCCCACCAAGGCGACGAUCAGUAGCCGGCCUGAGAGGGUGAACGGCCACAUUGGGACUGAGACACGGCCCAAACUCCUACGGGAGGCAGCAGUGGGGAAAAUUGCACAAUGGGGGAAACCCUGAUGCAGCGACGCCGCGUGAGUGAAGAAGUAUUUCGGUAUGUAAAGCUCUAUCAGCAGGGAAGAAAAUGACGGUACCUGACGAAGAAGCCCCGGCUAACUACGUG